ACUCCUAGGGAGGCAGCAGUAGGGAAUCUUCCACAAUGGGCGCAAGCCUGAUGGAGCAACACCGCGUGAGUGAAGAAGGGUUUCGGCUCGUAAAGCUCUGUUGUUAAAGAAGAACACGUAUGAGAGUAACUGUUCAUACGUUGACGGUAUUUAACCAGAAAGUCACGGCUAACUACGUGCCAGCAGCCGCGGUAAUACGUAGGUGGCAAGCGUUAUCCGGAUUUAUUGGGCGUAAAGAGAGUGCAGGCGGUUUUCUAAGUCUGAUGUGAAAGCCUUCGGCUUAACCGGAGAAGUGCAUCGGAAACUGGAUAACUUGAGUGCAGAAGAGGGUAGUGGAACUCCAUGUGUAGCGGUGGAAUGCGUAGAUAUAUGGAAGAACACCAGUGGCGAAGGCGGCUACCUGGUCUGCAACUGACGCUGAGACUCGAAAGCAUGGGUAGCGAACAGGAUUAGAUACCCUGGUAGGAUAGCG
RNAcentral lists this ribosomal RNA (472 nucleotides) under uncultured bacterium. Its description in RNAcentral is "bacterial SSU rRNA". It matches the Rfam family "Bacterial small subunit ribosomal RNA", at positions 335 to 801 of the family's 1533-position model. The record is from RNAcentral.